Molecule: long non-coding RNA, 6240 nt
Filed under: Equus asinus (donkey)
Lineage: Eukaryota; Metazoa; Chordata; Mammalia; Perissodactyla; Equidae
Description: lncRNA (ENSEASG00005031707.1)
Source: RNAcentral
GCAUCUUAAGCUGAUUAGAAGGGGAAGAACCAGCGUGGGGCUGGACAGUCCGGGACCCAGGUCCAGGGAUGAGGAGAGCACACUGGGGUCUUGACAGGGAAGGGAGGGGCCUGGGGUAUGAUCACAAGAAUGGAAGCCUCGGGAUGAGGGGCGGGAAAUGAGGUCACAUAGGGUUCCCGUUUCCCACCUGCAGCUUGAGGACCAAGUCUGCAGGAGCCAGGCAGUUCCUGGCCCAUGCCCUUGGAGAGGGAGGCGUCUGGGAGCCUCAUCCUUCCCGAGGCCUGGGCGGGGAUGGGGUGGGAACACAGAAGCGCUGACGCCUUCUGAGAAAGGACCCUUCCCAUACUCUUAAUGGGCGUUAGGAUAGGAGCGGCCAUUGGUGGGCAGAGCCAAACCUCCUGCCGUUGAUUGGCUCUCAGAUGAACACGUGACCCAAGCUGGCCAAUCUGCCCUUCCUGAGGGAGGGGCAUGGGCGUGGAAGCCGGCAGAGGGGAGGCGGAGAGCUGCGUUGGGGAGAAGCAAGGGGAAGAGAGGGAGCCAGGCGCCGGCCCUCCCUGAUGCAGAGUCGGAGAGGCCGAGUCCAAACCUCCCCUUGGCGGGAGCUAGCUGCAUAAGUCCCUGUCAUCUGCCGAGCCUCAGUUUCUGCAUCUGCAAAGUGGAGCCAGUAAGCCCUGCCCAGCUGCCCUGCCCCUAGACAGCAGCGAGCAGCGCUGGAGAUGCCGAGCCCAAAAGGCCUUUGCAGCUGUAAAGGGCUGCCUGCCUGUGUGAGAGCUUACUGUCAUUCAUCUUUGAAAGUAACAUGAUGAUGAUGAUGAUGAUGAUGAUGAUGAUGAUAACGGUUGCCACUGUGAAUCAAGCCACACGAAUGCACUCCAGGAAGCCAGGCAUCUUCUUAAUUCUGCAUUUCUUUUUUUAAUCAUCCGUAAGCGACUGAUAGACAGUUGUGUAAAUUACACACAAACCUAACUUUUCAUAUUUCAUAUCAUUCUCUAAGUUGGACACUUGACAGACCGAUAAGUAUCCCAUUAUUCUUGCAAAGUAAUUACUGUCAGGGCCCAGCGUCGGCUGUAUUAGGGGACCAGCUGGUGGGAGCUAGCAGCGCCUCUGGGCCCCCGACAACAGUGAUCCUUCUUAAUUGCAGCCUUAGAACAAAAUAAUUGAGAAUCGCUAAAGGGAAAGCAAUUUAUAAGCAGGAUGAGAAGGCAAACACAUACAGACACCAGGUUGAAUCAUUCAUAGAUCUCAUAGUAGAAGAAACCUGGAGGGAAGUUUCCAGGUCUGGUGCUGUAAUGUUCUACCAGAAAGCUCUGGCUGCUUUGAAUAAAGGGAACCCACUCUAAUGUUCGGAGGAGCGCCGCAGCCUGUGGCAGGAGCUCCUGGGUCACCUGGCGUCCUGGAGGGACCAGUGUUAAGGGUGGCAGCCCCACCCCACCACCUAGAAACCAAAGAGGUCAGCCACUCUUCUAAGUCCCAUCAAGGGUCUCAAGUUUGUUCACGUGAAAAAACACCUGAAAACCACGGUGCAUUUUUUCUCUCCUAAUAUUUUACUAUGAAGAAUUUCAAACAUACAGCAAAGUUGAAAGAAUUUUACAGUGAAUGCCAGGGGACCUGCCCUGUGGGUUCUACCACUAACAUUUUACAAAAUCAAUUUGCAUUUUGAAGAAAUGAUGAUUUGAUGAGCUAUUCAACUUAACAUUCAAAAACUGUGGGUUUUGCAGGUUCAAAUUUAGAUCCAGCGACUUAUGAGCUGUGUGGCCUUAGGCACAUUGCUUAAUGUCUCAGAGACUUGUUUUUCUCUACUACGAAAUGAAAAUAAUUACAUGUACGCCCAGGGGCCAUUGUGAGGACGAAAGGGGGUGAUUAUGUAAACACACAGCACAAGAACUGCUACACAGCAGGUUCCCGAGAAACAGUGCUCUCAUCACAAAUACAGUUGAAGAGGACAUUCUUUAUUCAAUCAACACACAUUUUAUUAGGAACUAGUGUGGACAAGCGGAGGAGGCAGCGAAACUCCAGAAGAGUUUGUAAAAGAAUAGUCUUGAGUGGUCUCAGCGACAUGGCUUAACAAGCAGGACCCAUGCUCACUCAGUCAGGGACACCAGCUGUGACAGGGCACGUCUGCUUGCUCUGGGACCACUUCCUGGACUGUCCCCCCAGGGCCAAUUCAGAUCCAUAUUCAGGACAGUUUGCGUAAUGUGUCUCCCUCCCUGGCUAUGCUCUGCUUACCCGGGUGAUGUCUGAGUGCCAGCAGCAAUUCCUCAUCUCUAGCCACGUUUCCCAGCAUCAUGCAUGCCAGAGAUAGGCUUCGAGAGGCUGCUCAUCUCCAUCCUGGAAGUGGAAUGAGACGGAAAGUGACUCGAAUGACUUUGGAAUUCUUAAGGAAGAAAUAGAACGGCUGCUAUUAGUUCUAUCGUGGUGGAGCGGUUACUAAAGAAAUAAAACUAUAAAAGUAGAAUUUUUAUAAUAUGGCCUGUGGGAACAUGGUGACAAUCACCAAGAUUCUUAAUAAUCACUUUGUUGAAGACCUAUGAGGUGCCAGGAACGCCUCUGUAAUGGUCCCCAACACACACGCGUGUGCGCGCACACACUCACAAUCUCCAUCCUCAGCCCCUCUGCAAGGCCAGCUCAGGGCCAUCUAUCUUAUCCCACAAGGAUGCCCGUCUCAUCCCCUGGCUGGUCCUCUGCUCCCAUCACUACAGAACUGACGGUGGGACCGCCUGUCCUGUGCUCUUUAUAUACCAGCGCGUAUCCACAACUCUCUGCAUGAAUAGCUUUCCCCCCUAAGAUACUGCAUCUGUGACUUUUACAUUUUUUAAAAACUUGUUAUUAUAGAAUUUUAAAAAAUGCUUUAAAGUAUAGAGAAGAGUAUAAAAACCUCUCUUACCCAUCACCCACCUUCAACAAUUGUCGCCUCUCCGCCAGUCUUCUUUCCUCUCUCUCCUCCCUCAACUCCUUUUAUUUUGCAGGACUAUUUUUUUUAAAUAAACUUUAUUUCUUAGAACAGUUUGAGAUUUACAGAAAAACUGAAGAUAGUACAGAGUUCCCAUAUAGCCGGCCCCCAGCUUCUCUAUUAUUAAUUUUUUACAUUGGCAUGGUACAUUUGUUACAAUUAAUGAGCCCGUAUUGAUACAUUAUUGUUAACUAAAAUCCAUGUUUUGGUCUCCUUGGUUUGUACCUAAUGUCCGUUCUCUGUCUCAGGGCCCCGUCCAGGAGCCCACAGUACAUUUGGUCGUCGUGUCGUCUUAGCUCCUCUGGGCAGGGACAGUUUCUCAGACCCCCUUGUUUCAAUGACCUUAACCGUUUCCAGGAGGACCGAGCAGGUGUCUUGUAGGAAGCCCCUCAGCUGGGAUCUGUCUGCUGUUUCUCUCAUGACUAGACUGGGACCAUGGGUCUGGGAGGAGGACCACCGAGGGGAGGAGCCCUUCUCGUCCCAUCCCAGCAGGGCAGGUGCUGUCACCAGGACGGAUCCCUGUGGUGUUGACCUUGGUCACCUGGCUGAGGGGUGGUUGUCAGGCUUCUCACUGUAGCUGCCCCGUCCAUCCUGUCCUCUUCGCAGGUCACUAGGCACAGCCCACCCUCAGGGAGUGGGAGUUAUGCUCCACCGUCCUGAGGACAGAGUGCAGGAGUAUUUUAAAGCAAAUCCCAGACACAGUGUCUCUUCAUAUUUAAAUAUUUUAAGUACUUUUUAAAUAUACAUUUCUAAUGAUGAAGACUUUUUAAAACACCACCAUCCUACCUGUUACACAUAACCGUAUUAACAAUGAUCCCUUAAUAUUUUCUGCUGAGUGACUUAUCUUUCUAAAUCAGCUCAACAGCGUUUAGUAAGAUGGGUGUGAGGACCCUGGGAGAGAUAUAAAGAUAAGGAAGACGAAAUCCUUGCUCCCUCGGGUGGGGAGAUAGGGACCAAAAUAGAAGGCAACUAUUUUCUUAACAAAAGGAACUUUUCAUUUACCAAAAGAUUCACCUUGGGACUCUUUUACAACACCUGCCUCUAGCUUGUGUUCAUGACUUACAGAAAACGGACUCGUCUCACUUCAUCCUUCAAGCCUCAGCCCAAACGUGUCUCCCAGAGUUGGGGCUCCUCCUGGACUCCCAGCGCACAGGGCAUAGACCUCCUUACACAGCUUGGGUUUCAAGUAUGUAAGCACAGACCCCACCUGCUCCCAAGCUGCCUGACCUGAGGUUCCAGACCUGCUCGCCUGGUUCUAGGCAGGGCUCUGGGCCGCUCACAGGCCAGGUGAGCAGAGCCAGGAACGAGAGGCCAGGCAGGACGGGGAGGGGGAGGGACAUGAGCAGGAUACCUGUGCACCAGCUCCUCAGUCUAGGGGAGCACUGUGGGAAGGCUGAGGAGUGUGUAGUGGCCCGAAGGACAACUGCACCCCCCAACUCUAUUUGGUGAAUGAAAUAAAGCUUAAGUUAGAAGGGACAAUUACUCUAUGUAUAGACAAUUGAAUAGUAUCCCCCCAAAAGAUAUGUCCAAGUCCUCACCCCAGGUACCCGGGAACGUAGCCUUAUUUGCAAACAAGGUCUUUGCAGACACGAUUGGUUUGAGGAUCUCAGAAUCAGAUCAUCAUGGAUUUAGAGGGGGCCCUAAAUCCAGGGAAGGGUGUCUUUACAAAAGAAAGAAGAGAGAGAUUUGCCACACAGACCCAGAUGGAAAGGCCAUGCAAAAAUGGAGGCAGAAAACGGGAGUGACAAAUCCACAAGCCGGGGAUCACCAAAGAUUGCCCACAGCCUCCAGAAGCCAGGAGAGAGGUGUGGGAGGGCUCCUCCCUCACAGCGUCCCGAGGGAACCGACCUCGCCUGCAGCCUGGUUUCUGAGCCCUGGCCUCCAGACUGAGAGAGUAGAGACCUGUUCUUUUAAGCCAGCAAGUCUGUGGUAAUUUGUUACAGCAGGAAACUGACCUCGUGUGUGUGUGUGUUUGUACAUAUAUGAGUAUGUCUAUAUUUUUUGAAUUCCCACUCAAUAAUAUAUCUCUCGGUUUAUAUAUUUCUUGGAGAGCAUAGAUAGUGAAUUAAUACUGCUAUUUUCUCAUGUUUUUCAAAACUAAGCCACUCUUGAGUGCGGGUGCACCUGCCUCACACCCCGCCUCCAUCUCAGCCUGGAGGAGAGCAGCCCCCUCUGGGGCACCUGUUCCCCCGGGAAUCACAGCCAGAAGGAAGCACAGAGCACAGAGAACUACCCACCUCAACGCGACCGGUUCAAUGAGCUCAAGCACCCUAGGUGACAGCAAGCAGCACAGAGCUGCAGUGCAGCUGCCUGCCUUUCGGAGACUGAUCCGCGGUGUCCACGGCAAGUUCAGGGGCCACGACUUAAUUACUCAACCUUAUGGAGCAUUAGAAGGCUUCGGCACGUGGUGAGAAAUGUCGCUCUGGCUUGUUCCCUGUUGAUUUUCUGCGGGCACUCAGAGUCCGGUGCUGUGAUUUUAUGAGCCGUCUUCCGGGUGGUGUAUUUGGUGCCACAUGAAAUAAACGCAGGUUUCUUCCUCAUUGGAGCCAGUCGAGGAGUCAUCCUGAAUCCUCUCCCUCCAGCUGCCCUCACCUCCAGGUCCUGCUUCUGCCUGGUGAGUUAUCUCAGCUGAGGCUCCUCCUCCGUCUACCAGAUCUUCCCCACGGCUGCCAGGCUAUCUUUCCAAAACCCAGAUAGUAUGGAGCUCCUCCUGCUCUCGAAUCCUUCGGGGCUCCCACACCAACCUCCUGCUGUGGCUACAGAACCCUUCACGUUUGGGCCCCAACCUUACUUCCUGCCACGCCCCCCACCCACUCUACACAGAACUCAUUGGCUCGGACGUGCAGGCCUCUGAGCCUUUGCACACACAGAUCCCUCCACCUGGAAUAAUACCCUUUCCACCUUCUCUGCCUGGUGAACCCCUCCGACCCAGCAUAAAAUGCCGACUGCUCUAGGAACACGUCCUAAAGAACUGAAAGCAGGGACUUGAGCAGAUAUUUGUGCACACGUGUUCAGAGCAGCGUCGUUCACAAUAGCCAAACGGUGGAAACCACCCAAGUGUCCAUCAACAGACGGAUGGAUAAACGAAAUGUGGGCUAUCCAUACAGUGGACUAUUACUCAUCCAGACUAAAGAUUGAGAUUUCGAUGCUACAACAUAGAGGGACCUCAAAAACAUUAUGCUUAAUGAAGUAAGCCAGACACAGAAGGGCAAAAUAUUAUAUGAUUCUACUUAUAAGAGGUAGCUAGAAUAGGCAAAUUCAUAGAGGCCCAAAGUAGGACAGAGGUUUCC